CCUACGUGGUGCUGCAGUGGGGAAUAUUGCACAAUGGGGGAAACCCUGAUGCAGCGACGCCGCGUGAGUGAAGAAGUAUUUCGGUAUGUAAAGCUCUAUCAGCAGGAACGAGACAAGACGGUACCUGACUAAGAAGCCCCGGCUAACUACGUGCCAGCAGCCGCGGUAAUACGUAGGGGGCAAGCGUUAUCCGGAAUCACUGGGUGUAAAGGGAGGGUAGACGGCUGUGCAAGCCUGAAGUGAAAGGCGGGGGCCCAACCCCUGGACUGCUUUGGGAACUGUACGGCUGGAGUGAAGGAGAGGUAAGUGGAAUUCCUAGUGUAGCGGUGAAAUGCGUAGAUAUUAGGAGGAACACCAGUGGCGAAGGCGGCUUACUGGACUGUAACUGACGUUGAGGCUCGAAAGCGUGGGGAGCAAACAGGAUUAGAUACCCUAGUAGUC
This 441-nucleotide ribosomal RNA is filed under the name uncultured bacterium. RNAcentral describes it as "partial 16S ribosomal RNA". It matches the Rfam family "Bacterial small subunit ribosomal RNA", at positions 338 to 795 of the family's 1533-position model. The record is from RNAcentral.